UGAGGAAUAUUGGUCAAUGGGCGAGAGCCUGAACCAGCCAUGCCGCGUGCAGGAAGACGGUCCUAUGGAUUGUAAACUGCUUUUAUACAGGAAGAAACACUCCCUCGUGAGGGAACUUGACGGUACUGUAGGAAUAAGGAUCGGCUAACUCCGUGCCAGCAGCCGCGGUAAUACGGAGGAUCCAAGCGUUAUCCGGAAUCAUUGGGUUUAAAGGGUCUGUAGGCGGUUUAAUAAGUCAGUGGUGAAAUCUGGUCGCUCAACGAUCAAACGGCCAUUGAUACUGUUAAACUUGAAUUAGUGUGAAGUAACUAGAAUAUGUAGUGUAGCGGUGAAAUGCUUAGAUAUUACAUGGAAUACCAAUUGCGAAGGCAGGUUACUAACACUACAUUGACGCUGAUAGACGAAAGCGUGGGUAGCGAACAGGAUUAGAUACCCUGGUAGUCCACGCCGUAAACGAUGGAUACUAGCUGUUUGGAGCAAUCUGAGUGGCUAAGCGAAAGUGAUAAGUUCCCACCUGGG
RNAcentral lists this ribosomal RNA (519 nucleotides) under bacterium enrichment culture SBR_L_B14. RNAcentral's name for it is "bacterial SSU rRNA". It matches the Rfam family "Bacterial small subunit ribosomal RNA", at positions 355 to 877 of the family's 1533-position model. The record is from RNAcentral.